This 1097-nucleotide ribosomal RNA is filed under the name Mesonia algae. Its description in RNAcentral is "bacterial SSU rRNA". It matches the Rfam family "Bacterial small subunit ribosomal RNA", at positions 333 to 1431 of the family's 1533-position model. The record is from RNAcentral. Lineage: Bacteria; Pseudomonadati; Bacteroidota; Flavobacteriia; Flavobacteriales; Flavobacteriaceae.
AGACUCCUACGGGAGGCAGCAGUGAGGAAUAUUGGACAAUGGAGGCAACUCUGAUCCAGCCAUGCCGCGUGCAGGAAGACUGCCCUAUGGGUUGUAAACUGCUUUUAUAGAGGAAGAAACCUCCCUUCGUGAAGGGAAUUGACGGUACUCUACGAAUAAGGAUCGGCUAACUCCGUGCCAGCAGCCGCGGUAAUACGGAGGAUCCAAGCGUUAUCCGGAAUCAUUGGGUUUAAAGGGUCCGUAGGCGGACUAAUAAGUCAGUGGUGAAAGUCUGCAGCUCAACUGUAGAAUUGCCAUUGAUACUGUUAGUCUUGAGUCAUUAUGAAGUGGUUAGAAUGAGUGGUGUAGCGGUGAAAUGCAUAGAUAUCACUCAGAAUACCGAUUGCGAAGGCAGAUCACUAAUAAUGUACUGACGCUGAUGGACGAAAGCGUAGGUAGCGAACAGGAUUAGAUACCCUGGUAGUCUACGCCGUAAACGAUGGUUACUAGCUGUUUGGUCGAUUGAGACUGAGUGGCUAAGCGAAAGUGAUAAGUAACCCACCUGGGGAGUACGUUCGCAAGAAUGAAACUCAAAGGAAUUGACGGGGGCCCGCACAAGCGGUGGAGCAUGUGGUUUAAUUCGAUGAUACGCGAGGAACCUUACCAGGGCUUAAAUGUAGUCUGACAGAUUUGGAAACAGAUUUUUCUUCGGACAGAUUACAAGGUGCUGCAUGGUUGUCGUCAGCUCGUGCCGUGAGGUGUCAGGUUAAGUCCUAUAACGAGCGCAACCCCUGUGGUUAGUUGCCAGCGAGUCAAGUCGGGAACUCUAGCCAGACUGCCGGUGCAAACCGUGAGGAAGGUGGGGAUGACGUCAAAUCAUCACGGCCCUUACGUCCUGGGCCACACACGUGCUACAAUGGUAGGGACAGAGAGCAGCCACUUCGCGAGAAGGAGCGAAUCUUCAAACCCUAUCACAGUUCGGAUCGCAGUCUGCAACUCGACUGCGUGAAGCUGGAAUCGCUAGUAAUCGGAUAUCAGCCAUGAUCCGGUGAAUACGUUCCCGGGCCUUGUACACACCGCCCGUCAAGCCAUGGAAGCUGGGGGUACCUGAAGUCCGU